This 67-nucleotide transfer RNA is filed under the name Marmota monax (woodchuck). RNAcentral describes it as "tRNA.Ala". Lineage: Eukaryota; Metazoa; Chordata; Mammalia; Rodentia; Sciuridae. The record is from RNAcentral.
GGUUGUGGUUCAGUGGUAGAGGGCUCACCUAGCACGCGUGAGGUGCUGGGUUCGAUUCUCAGCACCA